This 259-nucleotide ribosomal RNA is filed under the name uncultured eukaryote. Its description in RNAcentral is "partial 18S ribosomal RNA". It matches the Rfam family "Eukaryotic small subunit ribosomal RNA", at positions 571 to 814 of the family's 1831-position model. The record is from RNAcentral.
CAGCCGCGGUAAUACCAGCUCCACUAGCGUAUACUAAAGUUGUUGCUGUUAAAACGCUCGUAGUUGGAUAUCAGUCGGGGCGAGCAUGGCCCGGUUGUGUUACACAGCCGCGCGUCAAAGCGUUCUACGCGCUCCCGCGACUUAAUUCAGGAGUGCUGGUCUGCCCAUUCACUUGGGUCGGCCGGUGUGUCCUGAUCUUUAACUUUGAGAAAAUUAGUGUGCUCAAAGCAGGCCGGCGCCUGAAUGCAUUAGCAUGGAA